CAGUCGCCGCGGUAAAACGGAGGGUGCAAGCGUUAAUCGGAAUUACUGGGCGUAAAGCGCACGCAGGCGGUCUGUCAAGUCAGAUGUGAAAUCCCCGGGCUUAACCUGGGAACUGCAUUUGAAACUGGCAGGCUAGAGUCUUGUAGAGGGGGGUAGAAUUCCAGGUGUAGCGGUGAAAUGCGUAGAUAUAGGAAGGAACAUCAGUGGCGAAGGCGACCACCUGGACUGAUACUGACACUGAGGUGCGAAAGCGUGGGGAGCAAACAGGAUUAGAUACCCCGGUAGUCCCUGUCUCUUAUCC
This 301-nucleotide ribosomal RNA is filed under the name uncultured bacterium. RNAcentral describes it as "partial 16S ribosomal RNA". It matches the Rfam family "Bacterial small subunit ribosomal RNA", at positions 509 to 809 of the family's 1533-position model. The record is from RNAcentral.